AUUGAACGCUAGCGGGAUGCUUUACACAUGCAAGUCGAACGAGUGGCGGACGGGUGAGUAAUAUAUCGGAACGUGCCCAGGAGCGGGGGAUAACUACUCGAAAGAGGCGCUAAUACCGCAUUCUAUUGUAAAGGCCGAUAUCGGAUUAGCUAGUUGGUGGGGUAAAGGCUCAUAAGGUCAACAAUCCGUCGCUGGUUUGAGAGGAAGACCAGCCACACUGGGACUGAGACACGGCCCAGACUCCUACGGGAGGCAGCAGUGGGGAAUUUUGGACAAUGGGGGAAACCCUGAUCCAGCCAUCCCGCGUGUAUGAGAAGGCCUUCGGGUUGUAAAGUACUUUUGGCAGAGAAGCGGUAUCUGCAGAAUAAGCACCGGCUAACUACGUGCCAGCAGCCGCGGUAAUUC
Molecule: ribosomal RNA, 405 nt
Filed under: uncultured bacterium
Lineage: Bacteria
Description: partial 16S ribosomal RNA
Rfam family: Bacterial small subunit ribosomal RNA
Source: RNAcentral